UCUGAGACGCCCUAUACGAUGCGCGUGAAAAGUUAUCGGGUUUCACAUAAUACUCUGCGGUGCGGUCUCACAGGAUCCCGUCGGUAUUAUAUUUAUAUACAGAGGCUAGCAAAUGCCGUUGCUCUCGCAAUUAAGAUUGCAAGAAAUAAAUCACCUGGAUGGGCCCUAGUUUUGGGGGACAUUAGCUCACGGGAGAAUCCGUCCAAAGAUCUUGGAACACGCAUGCUGGUCCAGCAUUAAUAAUUGGCGGGGAGACCCAUCACGGCCGGAACACACCUUCCAAAUUAUUGAUGGCCGCGGGUCCUACAUCCAAAUUAUGCGAGCCGGAAAAUAACGUGUCUGGACCUUACACUCACCAGGAUGCCUAUCGAACGUCCCCACGGGGCGCUGCAAUUAUUUCCGUUUGAUGCUUGAAAGGCCGUAUGGCAUGGUUCCACCAACGCUUUAUACCAACCUUUGGAAAUUUGAAGGGCGUGUGAGGCCAGUUUAAAUAUCAAAAUUAUGGAGUCUAUAGGUACGAUCCCUUCUUAUUUCCAUAACGAUUCCCUCAAGGCAUCAACCUUGAGUUGGAUGAAGCUUCUAAAGUGUCUCAAACGAUGAACUGUAAGUUAGGCAGCUUC
This 620-nucleotide long non-coding RNA is filed under the name Phoenix dactylifera (date palm). Its description in RNAcentral is "long non-coding RNA (PDAC_LNC005331)". Lineage: Eukaryota; Viridiplantae; Streptophyta; Magnoliopsida; Arecales; Arecaceae. The record is from RNAcentral.